UACGUAGGGUCCGAGCGUUGUCCGGAAUUACUGGGCGUAAAGAGCUCGUAGGUGGUUUGUCGCGUUGUUCGUGAAAACUCACAGCUCAACUGUGGGCGUGCGGGCGAUACGGGCAGACUUGAGUACUGCAGGGGAGACUGGAAUUCCUGGUGUAGCGGUGAAAUGCGCAGAUAUCAGGAGGAACACCGGUGGCGAAGGCGGUUCUCUGGGAAUGACCUGACGCUGAGGAGCGAAAGUGUGGGGAGCGAACAGG
Molecule: ribosomal RNA, 253 nt
Filed under: uncultured bacterium
Lineage: Bacteria
Description: partial 16S ribosomal RNA
Rfam family: Bacterial small subunit ribosomal RNA
Source: RNAcentral